GGAUGUGGCUCAGUGGUAGAGUGCUUGCUGAGCAUGCAUGAGACCCCUGGGUUUGAUCCCCAGAACUGCA
Molecule: transfer RNA, 70 nt
Filed under: Marmota monax (woodchuck)
Lineage: Eukaryota; Metazoa; Chordata; Mammalia; Rodentia; Sciuridae
Description: tRNA.Ala
Source: RNAcentral